CCUACGGGCGGCAGCAGUGAGGAAUAUUGGUCAAUGGGCGAGAUCCUGAACCAGCCAAGCCGCGUGAGGGAAGACGGCCCUAUGGGUUGUAAACCUCUUUUUUCGGAGAACAAAACCCGGGACGUGUCCCGGACUGCAUGUAUCCGAAGAAAAAGCAUCGGCUAACUCCGUGCCAGCAGCCGCGGUAAUACGGAGGAUGCGAGCGUUAUCCGGAUUUAUUGGGUUUAAAGGGUGCGUAGGCGGUCCGUUAAGUCAGCGGUAAAAUUGCGGGGCUCAACCCAGACGAGCCGUUGAAACUGGGAGACGUGAGGGGGCGAGAGGUACGCGGAAUGCGUGGUGUAGCGGUGAAAUGCAUAGAUAUCGCGAAGAACUCCGAUUGCGAAGGCAGCGUACCGGCGCCAGACUGACGCUGAGGCACGAAAGCGUGGGGAUCGAACAGGAUUAGAUACCCGUGUAGUC
This 459-nucleotide ribosomal RNA is filed under the name uncultured bacterium. RNAcentral's name for it is "partial 16S ribosomal RNA". It matches the Rfam family "Bacterial small subunit ribosomal RNA", at positions 338 to 795 of the family's 1533-position model. The record is from RNAcentral.